Molecule: non-coding RNA, 255 nt
Organism: Vicia faba (fava bean)
Lineage: Eukaryota; Viridiplantae; Streptophyta; Magnoliopsida; Fabales; Fabaceae
Source: the annotation of a GenBank genome assembly
AUGGAGAAAGCUCCAAGGAUUGACCCGCUCUACAACCCUAAUUCAUCGUCAUUGGGGCGAAAGAAGAGUGUGAUAGAAGCAUAUAAGUUUCAGCCUAGGGAUCAGCCUAUCAAACAAAAAAAAUGUACCGCUUGUGUAGCCUAUGCGAAGCGAACAAGCAAGGGAUUGAGCUGCGCGAAAGCCGCGUUCGCGCAUUCGUUUUCUUGCUGGGUACAAGAUCGAAAAGAAUGCAUUGGAUGGAUGCCCGGGCAUUGA